Molecule: long non-coding RNA, 1559 nt
Organism: Brassica oleracea var. oleracea
Lineage: Eukaryota; Viridiplantae; Streptophyta; Magnoliopsida; Brassicales; Brassicaceae
Exons: 6
Source: RefSeq, a predicted model, not a curated record
GCCCAGAUGAAUCGCUAGACGCUUCAGUUGCUUUCGUCACCUGAAAACAAAACGAAAGAGAGAGUGGGACGAGAUGGUGCUCCGACGAGGCCAUGGGAAGAGAUGACGAUGAUGGCCGUGGGAAGAGAUGACGAUGAUGGCCGUGGGAAGAGAUGGAGCUCCGACUAUGGCCGUUGGAAGAGAUGGAGCUCCGAUGAUGGCUGUGGGAAGAUGGAGCUCCGACGAUGGCCGUUUGAUGUCCGACAGGCGACAAUGCUUCUGGUGACCACAUCGUGUUCAAUCUGCAGCAGAGGAGCUUCUCUUCCUUUUCGUUCCACCAAAAGUGAUCAGAGCAAGUGUCCCUAAGCUUCUCCUUGAUUAUGUCUUCUCUGCUUCAUCAAGCCACCACCGGAGCUUUUCUGCUUCAUCAAGCCACCACCGGAGCUUCUCGUCUUCUCUGCUUCAUCAAGCCACCACCGGAGCUUCUCUGCUUCAUCAAGCCUCCACCGGAGCUUCUCUGAUGCAACGGAUCCAAGUCCAGAACCUCCUGAAGCAAAAAUAAACUGAGAGGAAAUCUGUUGAGAGGCUUGCCAUCUUCAUCAGCUUUUUCUUCGCUAUCAGGAACAUGGCUGAGAAAGUACCGUCAUUUAAAACCGGGGGAACUCUUUGGUUUACUGAUCUCACCACUGCAGAUACUACAUAUAUCUUGUCACUUCUCACCGCCAUCACUUUCAUAUGGUGGAGUCGAACUUGCAGGAAGGUAUGGAAGGGAAUCGAUCCAGUAGCUGGAACUAUGAAGAAAUUCUCAAGAAUCAUUGCCUUUCUCUCUAUUCCAAUUCUGAUGGGCAUUGAAAAGGCAAGUCCCCUCCCCUCUCUCUUUCCCACAGAGUCUUGAGACGUGAGAUAAAAGAGUUUUGAUGUGACAUAUUGUGUGUGUAUAUAAUAAUGUGAGGAAGCUCUUGAAUCUCCCGGAUGCUGUCACCUCUUCUUCUACCGGGCAGCCAAAGCCGCCUUCGCCUAUUCCGUUUUCCUUUGAGCAGCCAAAAGACCAAAGUGUUAUUGGUCAUGAAGAUCCUCCUAUGGUGAACAAGGAGGCUUCAGGACCACAAGCUUCACGUGUGGAGAAUGUUUAUGCUUGUUUGUCGUUUGAGAAUUUUUUCCUUGGCGUUUUAAAGUUUAAGUAUAUUUUUUCUAAAUUUUUAUUAAAAAUGUUAACAAAUUAUGAAUACCCUACCACUCACGUAUCUUAGGAGUUAGGUCACAGAUCACAAGUUCUGAAUAAAUAUAGGAGCUGUCUAUUCCCAAAAAAUGUGCAAGCUCUGAUAUGCAUCCUAUUGGAUCAAGGGAUACGAAUUUUAUGCACAUGAUGAAGGUGAUGGUGAAAAGGAGAAAUUACCAUCAUUUGAGUCCAUCGUUAAUGGGGAAGAUGAAGAUGAUCAAAGUUUGAUUUGGUGUUUUGCUUUAUAUUGAUUUGGUGUUUUGCUUUAUUACAAUGUGAGAUUUCUUACUUAAGUUGAUUGAUUUUGUUUUUAGUACUAUGAAUUGUUUUAUUACAAUGCGAGAUUUCUUGUGUUUUGCUU